CAUGCAAGUCGAACGGAAAGGCCCUUUCGGGGGUACACGAGUGGCGAACGGGUGAGUAACACGUGGGUGAUCUGCCCUGCACUUUGGGAUAAGCCUGGGAAACUGGGUCUAAUACCGAAUAGGACUCCGGACUGCAUGGUCUGGGGUGGAAAGCUUUUGCGGUGUGGGAUGGGCCCGCGGCCUAUCAGCUUGUUGGUGGGGUGAUGGCCUACCAAGGCGACGACGGGUAGCCGGCCUGAGAGGGUGACCGGCCACACUGGGACUGAGAUACGGCCCAGACUCCUACGGGAGGCAGCAGUGGGGAAUAUUGCACAAUGGGCGCAAGCCUGAUGCAGCGACGCCGCGUGGGGGAUGACGGCCUUCGGGUUGUAAACCUCUUUCAGCACAGACGAAGCGCAAGUGACGGUAUGUGCAGAAGAAGCACCGGCCAACUACGUGCCAGCAGCCGCGGUAAUACGUAGGUGCGAGCGUUGUCCGGAAUUACUGGGCGUAAAGAGCUCGUAGGUGGUUUGUCGCGUUGUUCGUGAAAACUCACCA
RNAcentral lists this ribosomal RNA (537 nucleotides) under uncultured Mycobacterium sp. RNAcentral describes it as "bacterial SSU rRNA". It matches the Rfam family "Bacterial small subunit ribosomal RNA", at positions 54 to 607 of the family's 1533-position model. The record is from RNAcentral. Lineage: Bacteria; Bacillati; Actinomycetota; Actinomycetes; Mycobacteriales; Mycobacteriaceae.